Seriola aureovittata is the source of this 383-nucleotide long non-coding RNA. RefSeq lists it as uncharacterized. The transcript is spliced from 3 exons. NCBI's taxonomy places the organism in Eukaryota, Metazoa, Chordata, Actinopteri, Carangiformes, Carangidae. The record is from RefSeq and is a predicted model, not a curated record.
GUCAGGGGGAGCUAUGACCUCGCGGCUAUGGCUGUCCACCUCCUCUGGCCGCAGAGGUGUGGCUAGACUUAAGAUGGGAUCCUCUGCCCUGAUGAAACAGAAUGAGGGAAACUGAGCUGGGAGGCAAAAGAGCUCCUCCACAGUGUCUCUGUGCAGCAGUAACACAGCUGCCUCCUCCUCUGACCGUUCAGCCUCCGGUUUCUUCAGGACUCGUCCUACCUUAAGUCAACGAAAACGACAAACCUGUAUUUUGGCCUUUUCUAAUGCCUUUCUCUCAGCCCGUGAAGAGACACCGGUUCCUGACUCCUCUGCCAUCCCGUUUUACAUCAGCUGAGAAGUGGCUUUCUAUUCAAAACAAGGCUCAUUGCACCAGCAACCAACGA